RNAcentral lists this ribosomal RNA (468 nucleotides) under uncultured bacterium. Its description in RNAcentral is "partial 16S ribosomal RNA". It matches the Rfam family "Bacterial small subunit ribosomal RNA", at positions 28 to 507 of the family's 1533-position model. The record is from RNAcentral.
GACGAACGCUGGCGGCGUGCUUAACACAUGCAAGUCGAACGGAAAGACCCUGCUUUUGUGGGGUGCUCGAGUGGCGAACGGGUGAGUAACACGUGAGUAACCUGCCCUUGACUUUGGGAUAACUUCAGGAAACUGGGGCUAAUACCGGAUAGGAGCUCCUGCUGCAUGGUGGGGGUUGGAAAGUUUCGGCGGUUGGGGAUGGACUCGCGGCUUAUCAGCUUGUUGGUGGGGUAGUGGCUGACCAAGGCUUUGACGGGUAGCCGGCCUGAGAGGGUGACCGGCCACAAUGGGACUGAGAGACGGCCCAGACUCCUACGGGAGGCAGCAGUGGGGAAUAUUGCACAAUGGGCGGAAGCCUGAUGCAGAAACGCCGCGUGCGGGAUGACGGCCUUCGGGUUGUAAACCGCUUUCGCCUGUGACGAAGCGUGAGUGACGGUAAUGGGUAAAGAAGCACCGGCUAACUACGUG